This 602-nucleotide ribosomal RNA is filed under the name Desulfobulbaceae bacterium PR6_C04. Its description in RNAcentral is "bacterial SSU rRNA". It matches the Rfam family "Bacterial small subunit ribosomal RNA", at positions 124 to 716 of the family's 1533-position model. The record is from RNAcentral. Lineage: Bacteria; Pseudomonadati; Thermodesulfobacteriota; Desulfobulbia; Desulfobulbales; Desulfobulbaceae.
GUCUACCCUGAUAUCCGGGAUAACCCACCGAAAGGUGUGCUAAUACGGGAUACGCUGAUUUAUCAGGAAAGGUGGCCUCUUCAUGAAAGCUACUGUAUCGGGAGGAGCUUGCGUACCAUUAGCUAGUUGGUGGGGUAAUGGCCUACCAAGGCGACGAUGGUUAGCGGGUCUGAGAGGAUGAUCCGCCACACUGGAACUGAAACACGGACCAGACUCCUACGGGAGGCAGCAGUGAGGAAUAUUGCGCAAUGGGGGAAACCCUGACGCAGCGACGCCGCGUGGAUGAUGAAGGCUUUCGGGUCGUAAAAUCCUGUCAGAUGGGAAGAAAUGUCAUAUGUCUAAUAUAUGUAUGAUUUGACGGUACCAUCAAAGGAAGCACCGGCUAACUCCGUGCCAGCAGCCGCGGUAAUACGGAGGGUGCAAGCGUUGUUCGGAAUUACUGGGCGUAAAGCGCGCGUAGGCGGCUUUUUAAGUCAGAUGUGAAAGUCCACGGCUCAACCGUGGAAGUGCAUUUGAUACUGGAAGGCUUGAGUACUGGAGGGGAUGGUGGAAUUCCCGGUGUAGAGGUGAAAUUCGUAGAUAUCGGGAGGAAUACCGGUGGC